UACGGAGGGGACUAGCGUUGUUCGGAAUUACUGGGCGUAAAGCGCACGUAGGCGGAUUGUUAAGUCAGGGGUGAAAUCCCGAGGCUCAACCUCGGAACUGCCUUUGAUACUGGCAAUCUCGAGUCCGGAAGAGGUGAGUGGAAUUCCUAGUGUAGAGGUGAAAUUCGUAGAUAUUAGGAAGAACACCAGUGGCGAAGGCGGCUCACUGGCCCGGUACCGACGCUGAGGCGCGAAAGCGUGGGGAGCAAACAGG
RNAcentral lists this ribosomal RNA (253 nucleotides) under uncultured bacterium. Its description in RNAcentral is "partial 16S ribosomal RNA". It matches the Rfam family "Bacterial small subunit ribosomal RNA", at positions 524 to 776 of the family's 1533-position model. The record is from RNAcentral.